RNAcentral lists this long non-coding RNA (566 nucleotides) under Canis lupus familiaris (dog). RNAcentral describes it as "lncRNA (ENSCAFG00845016931.1)". Lineage: Eukaryota; Metazoa; Chordata; Mammalia; Carnivora; Canidae. The record is from RNAcentral.
GGAAUAAGUCCAUAUUCCACCUAGCUACAGAGAGCAGUGUUAAGAUACCUUCAUGCUACUGGUGCAUGUGACUGAGCUUCUGUCUAAUCCAGGAUUUUGCCCUGGGUGGUAAAAUCACUCAUUUCUGUGCUUGUAUAAGGAACACAAAGACAUUUCAGAAUCCUGCCAACACAGCUCAGAAUAGAGUUGGGAAUUUCCUUUAGAUUACAAUUGAACGACCUGAAAAGAACUCCUUCCUGAAAUGGUGACUCAGCAAAUAGGUCAAGAUACAAAUUUAUGUAUGAAUAAUGAGACACAAAAUAAGUUCCACCCUGGAGUAGAUACAAACUUCAAUUGCCUCUUACUCCUAGAGACCUUCAUCAUUAUUAUUUCUCUGUUCAUAAAGGAAUAUCGUGAUAGUGGAGCAAGGAGGGAAGAAACUAAGCAAAAGACAGAACUUGAGAAAAGUAAUGGAGCACUUCUGGAAGAAAUUGUUUUCAGGAGCACUUCUGGAAGAAAUUGGUAAUUAUUUUCAGAUUCUUAUUCCUUUGGUGGUCCAUUUUAUUGCAAUGAUUGUUGCACUGCAU